RNAcentral lists this ribosomal RNA (207 nucleotides) under Nacobbus aberrans. RNAcentral's name for it is "18S ribosomal RNA". It matches the Rfam family "Eukaryotic small subunit ribosomal RNA", at positions 1641 to 1831 of the family's 1831-position model. Lineage: Eukaryota; Metazoa; Nematoda; Chromadorea; Rhabditida; Pratylenchidae. The record is from RNAcentral.
UUGAUUACGUCCCUGCCCUUUGUACACACCGCCCGUCGCUGCCCGGGACUGAGCCAUUUCGAGAAACUUGGGGACUGCUGAUCCGGUGGCUUUGGCCUCCGCUUCGGUGGAAACCAAUUUAAUCGCAGUGGCUUGAACCGGGCAAAAGUCGUAACAAGGUAGCUGUAGGUGAACCUGCUGCUGGAUCAUUACACGUACCGUGAUGGU